GGAGGGUAUAGCUCAGUGGUAGAGUGCCUGCUUAGCAUGCAUAAGGUCCUGGGUUCAAUCCCCAGUACCUCCA
This 73-nucleotide transfer RNA is filed under the name Vicugna pacos (alpaca). Its description in RNAcentral is "tRNA-Ala (AGC) (tRNA-Ala-AGC-649-1)". It matches the Rfam family "tRNA". Rfam says of the family: Transfer RNA (tRNA) molecules are approximately 80 nucleotides in length. The record is from RNAcentral. Lineage: Eukaryota; Metazoa; Chordata; Mammalia; Artiodactyla; Camelidae.